Molecule: ribosomal RNA, 119 nt
Filed under: Lepisosteus oculatus (spotted gar)
Lineage: Eukaryota; Metazoa; Chordata; Actinopteri; Semionotiformes; Lepisosteidae
Source: RNAcentral
GAGUGCAGCCAUAUCACCCUGCAACUCACAACUGGCAACCCACUAAAGCUAAGCAGGUGUGAGCCUGGUCAGUACCUGGAUGGGGGACCUCCUGGGAAAAACUAAGGCUGCUGCUGGAA